Molecule: long non-coding RNA, 719 nt
Organism: Cotesia glomerata
Lineage: Eukaryota; Metazoa; Arthropoda; Insecta; Hymenoptera; Braconidae
Exons: 3
Source: RefSeq, a predicted model, not a curated record
CCAAUAAAAAGUUCAUUUUAUUUUUAUUUUAUCUUUAGAUUAUUAUAAGCUUCAUGGCUGUUUUAUUUACAUCUUCACUUUUAAGUUUUUCAAACUAAAUAAUGAGUUUAAAAUUUUUAAGAUGAGACUGAAGUUUAAAAGCUUCUUAGGCUAAAAAUGCAAACGCGAUGCUCAGCAAGAGAGUUUAAGGGCAAAAACAAACUUAGAUGUCAUAUUUGAGCCCAACGGAUCCAAGUCUCAAAAUAGUAAACUAAACCGUACACGGAGAGUACCACGCACAUGUGAGAUGAUGCAUGUUCGUUUAAAAUAACAGCCCUCGUUGAUUCAAACCGCACAUAUGUGCCAAGCAGUAAACCAUAGAGAAUUAAAAUAAAAUAACUUUUCUUCUUUUUUUCUUUCAUAGCUCAUCGAUUUAAAAUUACAAUAAAAUAAAUCUGACAAUUUAUUAUUAUUAUUUUUAGAGAUUAAAGACUUAUAUUUUAUCACGGCAAUUAAAACUUUGAGUUGGAGGGUCCGUCAUGCUUUAAAAGUUUCUUCCCGAAUUUGAGUGGAGGUUAUUGCUAACUAGGUUACAUGAAAUUGCGCAUUGCUUUCAUCCUUCGGAUCAAACAUUAAAUACAAAGCGGGUAAACUAAAAAUUAUUUCUUCUUGAAAUUAUUAAUUAUUAAGUAAAGCUUAAUUUUUUAGAAUUUAAUAGGGAAGAAAUGUAUCGCUUCACA